Molecule: long non-coding RNA, 1002 nt
Organism: Homarus americanus (American lobster)
Lineage: Eukaryota; Metazoa; Arthropoda; Malacostraca; Decapoda; Nephropidae
Exons: 3
Source: RefSeq, a predicted model, not a curated record
UAUACACUAUAUUAUGUUACCAAGGCAUCCUAAUAUAUCAGCAACUUUACCAUGGGACGCGAUAUGUGUUUGUUUCACAGGAUGUCAGUCGGAUCCCAUGAUAGUGCCAGCGCCACUCAACACCUCCUGGGACGGUGAUAACAGGGCCUUCGGUACACAGGUCAGUGAGAGAAGUUGUUGUUGUCUCAGUGAUUGGUGACCUGAGGGGUAAUUAUGGUAAGAAUAUGAAGAAUUACGGCACCUUAGUGUAUCGAUGAGUAAGUGAAGGUGAUCGAGUGUAGUGCCAGAGUUUAUUGUCUUCACAGUUUUACUUCCUGGACAAACUGAUCCCUUGUUAUAUUCAGGGAUAAUCUCCGAGGCAUCACUCUCACUCUAGGUGGAGUUGUCGUGUCCAGCUGGCCAGGUGUUGCCGGACCUCAACGCCUCCGCCACCAUCACCUGUGGGGAGGACGGCGCCUGGACCAACGUCUCCCAGGACUACCUAUUAUGUAGGACAGUUGCCCCGACUCCCUCACCACCUCCUGAGGGCGCCUUCAUUGAGGGCCCCGACCCGCCCUACUGGGUGGGGACGACCCUUACCUAUACAUGUACGCCACCGAGGAUGUCACCGACGGGCGCCACCAACAUCUCCAUCACCUGUCAGGAGGACGGCUGGCCAUCCCUCGACCCAGCCUUCACCUGUCUCAAAGUGUGCAGCUCAGAGCCCCCCGCAGCACCGCCGAGUUCGAGCAGCAACUACAGCGGGCGCCUGGUGGAGUGGGGGCAGGUGGUCGAGUACACCUGUGACGGUAACGGCACCUUCCUCAGCUUCGGCCCCUCCAUCACCACCACCUGUGUCUCUGGCAGCUGGUCAUUAAAGUACCUUCCCAUCUGUCAAGGUGAGACACACACACCUAUGUAUAUAUGAGAUAUUGAGAAAUAAAUAGAUUAAUGAGGAAUGCAUUAGUGAAUAUAUGAAAUUAAUUGCAUAUAAAUAUAUUAUAAUCAAUACACAAGCUUCUC